UACGUAGGGUGCGAGCGUUAAUCGGAAUUACUGGGCGUAAAGGGUGCGUAGGUGGUAUAUCAAGUCGUAUGUGAAAUCCCUGGGCUUAACCUGGGAAAGUUGUACGAGACUGGUAUGCUAGAGUACGAUAGAGGGGGGUAGAAUUCCACGUGUAGCAGUGAAAUGCGUAGAGAUGUGGAGGAAUACCGAUGGCGAAGGCAGCCCCCUGGGUUGAUACUGACACUGAGGCACGAAAGCGUGGGUAGCAAACAGG
RNAcentral lists this ribosomal RNA (253 nucleotides) under uncultured bacterium. RNAcentral's name for it is "partial 16S ribosomal RNA". It matches the Rfam family "Bacterial small subunit ribosomal RNA", at positions 524 to 776 of the family's 1533-position model. The record is from RNAcentral.